RNAcentral lists this ribosomal RNA (18 nucleotides) under Psophocarpus tetragonolobus (winged bean). Its description in RNAcentral is "partial small subunit ribosomal RNA". The record is from RNAcentral. Lineage: Eukaryota; Viridiplantae; Streptophyta; Magnoliopsida; Fabales; Fabaceae.
CCUUAAAGUGACUGCGGA